CGCAAGAGUCCCGGGGGUCCGCCCGCAGCUGGCUAAGCGCUAGCCCGGCCUGUGGCGAGUCUGCAGAGCUCGCCCGGAAGUAGCGUUGCGCGCGCAGAGGAUGGGCGCUGAGCAGCACACAGCCCGCGGCGGGGUCUCAGGAUCCGCGGCGCUGCCCGGGGCCGGGGGAAGGAAGCCAGCCGAGGAGACGCACGUGCCCUGAGUCCGGGAGCGGGGAGCCUCUUCAUCUCUCCAUCCUCCCUCCGCGCGCGCCCUCAGCCGUCCUCGUCCGCUCACCAUGCACCUCCCCUCCAAGAAAGGGCCACAUGCGUGCCAGGGACGCGAGCCCCGGCCACAGGGACAUAGCAGCCUAGAAGUAGCGACUGGGUUUCACCAUGUUGGGAAGGAUGGUCUCGAUCUCUUGACCUCGUGAUCCGCCCACCUCGGCCCCCCAAAGUGCUGGAUUACAGACGUGAGCCACCACACCCUGCCCAGUCUCUUUUUUUCUGGAAGUUUUAAGAUACUCGACGCAUGCCUUUGGCUUUGUUCAGCCAAAAGGGACUAUUAAAUGGAAAAAAGCAGGGAGGCACUACAUUAUGUUUUAAAGCUCACACUGAAGUUAACCUCAAGAACUAGAAAGUACAGAAAACAAGGCUUUCCCUACAUUAAGCAGGAAGAUCAGCAAACACAGGUUCGAAACAGGAAAGCACUGAACACCCGAUGGCUGCCUGAGAGAAACGUCCCAGGACACACUGACCCACGUGACAGCACGUGCCACUCAGACGAGGUGUCAGCAACGGAGACAGAAUGAGGAAACGGAGACCAAGGUGACGUCGGCAGUGGCCGCUGAUGCCUGCUCCAGGUGGGGUGGUGGUGGCCAUGGGCUCUGCGAAUCCCAGGCUCAAUGGCAACACUGAGGUGGGAGGAGGGGAAGGGACACUUGCUGGUGUCUGGCUUUCCUCUUGGGCAUCAGCUUCCAGCCCUUCAGCCUCAGCUCACCAACUUCCAUGGGUGGGCCCUGCUUGACUCCCCCAGCCUGUCAGCGUGUCGCCUCCCCUCUGCCACCCUGGGCUGCUUCACAACUCAGGACCGGAUGUGAGCUAUUAGGGAACCAGGCUUCCUGAUUUCCAGAGGCCAUCAGUGUGGAAGGGUGCAGGCCUGGGAGCCACCUUUGUGAGCAGGCAGGGAGAGCAGGUGGGAGUGUGAAGCCAGCACCGAGGAAGGAAGCAGAGCUGGGAAACGGUGUUAAGGGACAUGCGUGCAUGCGCGCGGUCCACGGCCUAGGCUCUGCCUUUGGGCCCUACCCACCGACUGUGUAUGUGAGCCCCCACAUUUGCAUUUAACAAUUUAACACCAGGCACCUGUCUCCUGCAGUGAUGCAGGCUCGGGACCUCCAGAGCAGCGGGCAGGAUGACGCCCUGAACCUGCACUUCAUCUCCUGGCUGCUUUAUUCUGUCAAUUGACUUCUGUAAUACAAUUUCCAUAUGGUGACACUGCCUUCCAAAACAGUUAGAGCUUAUUCUCAGUAUUCUUCAUUGGCAGU
RNAcentral lists this long non-coding RNA (1522 nucleotides) under Homo sapiens (human). RNAcentral describes it as "HSALNT0177770". The record is from RNAcentral. Lineage: Eukaryota; Metazoa; Chordata; Mammalia; Primates; Hominidae.